This 601-nucleotide ribosomal RNA is filed under the name Aspergillus flavus. RNAcentral's name for it is "partial large subunit ribosomal RNA". It matches the Rfam family "Eukaryotic large subunit ribosomal RNA", at positions 53 to 668 of the family's 3401-position model. The record is from RNAcentral. Lineage: Eukaryota; Fungi; Ascomycota; Eurotiomycetes; Eurotiales; Aspergillaceae.
GACGGUUAGAAGGACCACCGGGAUUGCCUCAGUAACGGCGAGUGAAGCGGCAAGAGCUCAAAUUUGAAAGCUGGCUCCUUCGGGGUCCGCAUUGUAAUUUGCAGAGGAUGCUUCGGGUGCGGCCCCUGUCUAAGUGCCCUGGAACGGGCCGUCAGAGAGGGUGAGAAUCCCGUCUGGGAUGGGGUGUCCGCGCCCGUGUGAAGCUCCUUCGACGAGUCGAGUUGUUUGGGAAUGCAGCUCUAAAUGGGUGGUAAAUUUCAUCUAAAGCUAAAUACUGGCCGGAGACCGAUAGCGCACAAGUAGAGUGAUCGAAAGAUGAAAAGCACUUUGAAAAGAGAGUUAAAAAGCACGUGAAAUUGUUGAAAGGGAAGCGCUUGCGACCAGACUCGCCUCCAGGGUUCAGCCGGCAUUCGUGCCGGUGUACUUCCCUGGGGGCGGGCCAGCGUCGGUUUGGGCGGCCGGUCAAAGGCUCCCGGAAUGUAGUGCCCUCCGGGGCACCUUAUAGCCGGGAGUGCAAUGCGGCCAGCCUGGACCGAGGAACGCGCUUCGGCACGGACGCUGGCAUAAUGGUCGUAAACGACCCGUCUUGAAACACGGACCC